GAAUCGGCCCUUUUUAGGGCCAAAAAUUUUGUCCAAACGUUAGAU
This is a non-coding RNA of Dufourea novaeangliae, 45 nucleotides long. The record is from Rfam. NCBI's taxonomy places the organism in Eukaryota, Metazoa, Arthropoda, Insecta, Hymenoptera, Halictidae.